AGCGACCGGAGCUAGUACAAAUCGCAAUCCCCUCGCCUUUUACUAGGGGAUUCCGUGUAUCAGCUUCACCUGCAAGUCGCAUGUUCAAUCUUUGGAAUAUCCGCAUUGUCCGGAGUA
This 117-nucleotide small nuclear RNA is filed under the name Gelatoporia subvermispora B. Its description in RNAcentral is "U5 spliceosomal RNA". It matches the Rfam family "U5 spliceosomal RNA". Rfam says of the family: U5 RNA is a component of both types of known spliceosome. The precise function of this molecule is unknown, though it is known that the 5' loop is required for splice site selection and p220 binding, and that both the 3' stem-loop and the Sm site are important for Sm protein binding and cap methylation. The record is from Rfam by way of RNAcentral. Lineage: Eukaryota; Fungi; Basidiomycota; Agaricomycetes; Polyporales; Gelatoporiaceae.